Molecule: small RNA, 144 nt
Filed under: bovine gut metagenome
Description: Clostridiales-1 RNA
Rfam family: Clostridiales-1 RNA
Source: RNAcentral
AAAGUAACAAAAUUAUAGAUAUGCUUGCAUAGAUAAAAUUUUGGGAAUUUGGAUGGUUAACAAACAUGAGCAAGUAGAAGCAAAGCUUCGGAUUGCGAAUGUUUGUAGGAUUACGAAAGCAUCGAAGAUGCGAAGUAAUCCGUA